Catharus ustulatus (Swainson's thrush) is the source of this 1641-nucleotide long non-coding RNA. RefSeq lists it as uncharacterized. NCBI's taxonomy places the organism in Eukaryota, Metazoa, Chordata, Aves, Passeriformes, Turdidae. The transcript has 4 exons. The record is from RefSeq and is a predicted model, not a curated record.
AAAUAUGAUGGGCUUAAUGAAUCUGGGUGAAUAUCUGUAUGAAAGAUAGCUCACAAUCUCAGGUGUGUUUGCACAUACCAAAGGCAGAUCUUUGUCACCCCUCCCAUCCCAAUGUGCCAGAGGAAAGCUGGUCAAGGCAGUAAUUUCAAUCUGGAUUUCUUACAAGGGUAGGUGUGAAAAUAACUGGGAUUUCUGAUGACAUGAGCUUCCUCUUCCAAAGGAGAAGGGCCAUGGUGACCACUGGGAAAUGCAAGGCUCCAAUAUAACAGAUGGAAAAAGAGAUGUGGACAUCACACUGACACACUACAGAUGUGCCAGAUACACAUUUAAAAUGGCCGUGAUUCAGAUUGGACCAGGACUGAACACCUCAAAUACUUACUGUUGCAACUCCAAGUCCACCUGAAAAUGAUGAUUUUUAUUCCCCAAAUUAUUCUUGUCUUGCCAACUCCAGCAGCUGGGGAAAGGAUUUGAGGAUAUGAUGUACAGCAGAUGUAGGCACCUCAGAUAUAGAAAGUACUAUUUUCAACACUUUCCCACUUCUACAGCACCCUUUAUUGUUGUUGUUUUCGUCAGUGAAGUGCUCUAAAGUUCUGCAUAAACCAAAAAUCACAACAUUUCUCAGCAUUUAUUCUGGUGCAUUAAUGAUCUUUAAAUACAAGACCUCACCUCCAAGAAAUCUUUAUGUCUGCAAAAAGGAAUAAAGACCGAAUGUGAUCCCUCACAGCAAUUACUGUAGCUAAAAAAAAGAGAAAAAAAAAAGAUAAAGAACCAGAAGUAAGAGGACGCUGUAAUUUUUCAAAUUGUGAAGAGUGAUAACUGCUAUAGUUUUCAGCCCCCUGAAAUCUAACAGAGUAUUUCAAAUGCCAUCUUGUCCUUGAUUCUUUUUGGCCUGCUUAUGUAUCCUGUUGGCAAGUUUGACUAGUUUAACACAAUUGCUCACAAGUUUGUAAGCUCCCAGCCCACUCUUGCCUAAUUCCAGCUUGGAAACUGUGACUCCAUUAAUUUAAAUUUUUGUGACUUUUUGGAGGGAAGGCCUGCUAGCUCUGAUAUAGGAUCUCCAAAGUGACUCUUGCUUUCCCAGUGUCUGGACUGCGAUACACGCAGGUGCCACUGAGCACCUUGGACUGCUGGUUAUGGGCUACAUAUUUAAGGCUAAGAUAACACAUUAGAAAGGAUUUUUCUGCUUUGUAUCAGCUGACAGUAAAUAAAAAACAAAAUCGUUUAAAUAUCAUAGUACAGUUAAUACAUAGAAGAACAUUCAAAGCUUUUAGAGCUUUUGAGCAAUAUGAGGCUCAUAAUUGCAAAGUGACAUGUACGGAAAAUGUGAAAUAAUUCUUCAGUCCCUCAAGAAAGAACUAAAGCAGAAACGCCACGGCCUAGACAGCCUUACUUAGAGUAAAAUUACAACUACAGUGAAAAAAUAACCAAACUACUAUCUUUGAGGAGACGGACAAACUGAUGCCCAUAUAUGACAGAUUUAUUUUGGUAAAAUGUGAGCCCACUGGAGACAACCAAGAAGCUGUCAGUGGGUAAGCAUUAAAUGGUUUUGAUGAAAUGACUGAAAUUUUGCUUGUGUUAAACUUGAUACACUGAAAUGAAGAAUCCCCUGAAUAUUGUUACUGAAUUUCCUCCAAAAGCAAG